RNAcentral lists this ribosomal RNA (465 nucleotides) under uncultured bacterium. RNAcentral's name for it is "partial 16S ribosomal RNA". It matches the Rfam family "Bacterial small subunit ribosomal RNA", at positions 338 to 795 of the family's 1533-position model. The record is from RNAcentral.
CCUACGGGAGGCAGCAGUGGGGAAUAUUGCGCAAUGGGCGAAAGCCUGACGCAGCGACGCCGCGUGAGGGAUGAAGGUCUUCGGAUCGUAAACCUCUGUCAGCAGGGAAGAACGGUCACUGUGCUAAUCAGCAGUGAAUUGACGGUACCUGCAAAGGAAGCACCGGCUAACUCCGUGCCAGCAGCCGCGGUAAUACGGAGGGUGCGAGCGUUAAUCGGAAUUACUGGGCGUAAAGCGCUCGUAGGCGGUAUGUCAAGUCAAGGGUGAAAUCCCCGCGCUCAACGUGGGAACUGCCUUUGAAACUGGCAGACUGGAGUGUGUGAGAGGAUAGUGGAAUGCCAGGUGUAGGAGUGAAAUCCGUAGAGAUCUGGAGGAACAUCAGUGGCGAAGGCGACUAUCUGGCACAUAACUGACGCUGAGGAGCGAAAGCGUGGGUAGCAAACAGGAUUAGAUACCCGGGUAGUC